GGGCCCGCACAAGCAGUGGAGUAUGUGGUUUAAUUCGAAGCAACGCGAAGAACCUUACCAGGUCUUGACAUCCUACUAACGAAGCAGAGAUGCAUUAGGUGCCCUUCGGGGAAAGUAGAGACAGGUGGUGCAUGGUUGUCGUCAGCUCGUGUCGUGAGAUGUUGGGUUAAGUCCCGCAACGAGCGCAACCCUUAUUGUUAGUUGCUACGCAAGAGCACUCUAACGAGACUGCCGUUGACAAAACGGAGGAAGGUGGGGAUGAUGUCAAAUCAUCAUGCCCUUUAUGACCUGGGCUACACACGUACUACAAUGGCGAUCAACAGAGGGUCGCGAAGGCGUGAGCCGGAGCCAAUCCCCAAAAGUCGUACUCAGUUCGGAUUGCAGGCUGCAACCCGCCUGCAUGAAGUCGGAAUUGCUAGUAAUCGCGGAUCAGCAUGCCG
This 440-nucleotide ribosomal RNA is filed under the name uncultured Bacillota bacterium. RNAcentral's name for it is "bacterial SSU rRNA". It matches the Rfam family "Bacterial small subunit ribosomal RNA", at positions 917 to 1359 of the family's 1533-position model. Lineage: Bacteria; Bacillati; Bacillota. The record is from RNAcentral.